GCCAUGGCCUCCUACCCAAUUCUCCUCUCUGUCACAUUUAGUACCCGAAGGCCUUUUCUCACCAUGCUGGCCCCGGCUUGCCAUCAUGACCAAAAGCCCUGGGGUCGUGGCACUUAAACUAUCCCAGGGGAUGGACAGACCGAGGACUGUUAGUCACUACUGUGGGAGCCGGCACGGUCCAGCAGAGACCUCAGUCUAGUCCUGAGGUCGGAGAGGCCUGACUAGGGAAGUGAUGUGGAGAGGAAGCCGGAAGCAAUCAGAGGAAGCCAGGACCCGAGGGGGAGUGCAAUUGCUAGAGAUUGAACCCAGGACCCAGAUUCUAGUGCUUUUGAACUCUACCAUGAAGUGUUGCUUCAUAAAAAAAAUUGCAGUCCUUGCUAGAUGAGCGUUUUUCAGGAUGAGGUUUACUUUUGCAAGUGGAGAGGAGAGAGGCUUUCUGAUUGGGGAUUCCUAAAUAUUUGUUUGCUAUUAAACAUGAAAGACCAGCACCAAUCAGGGACAUAGGGUACAAAGUCCAGGACACUUUGUAAUUUAUCUCAGUUACAGUGGAGAAUUAUGGAGAUAUGUAAAUGACAGUAUGAAGAGUACACCGGUUGCCUUCAGACAGAGGAUAGAGGUUAGUGGUCGGGGAACUUUUCUGUUUUGUUUUAGAAUUUCAAAACUCCACCCUUCAUUUUCCAAAUCAGAAUUAUUUAAGAUGGGGACUGAAACUUUUUCUUCUUCUUCCUGGUAGUACUGGAGACUGAACUCAAGGCCUCACAAAUAGUAAAUAAACAUUCUACCACUGCCCUGUGUUCACCAGCCCUUUUUUAAU
Long non-coding RNA from Fukomys damarensis (Damara mole-rat), 814 nucleotides. RefSeq lists it as uncharacterized. NCBI's taxonomy places the organism in Eukaryota, Metazoa, Chordata, Mammalia, Rodentia, Bathyergidae. The record is from RefSeq and is a predicted model, not a curated record. The transcript is spliced from 3 exons.